CCCUUAGAUGUUCUGGGCCGCACGCGUGCUACACUGAGUGGAUCAGCGGGUCAGGUUGCGCGAAAGCGUUUCCUAAUCUUGAAAUCCGCUCGUGAUGGGGAUUGACGGUUGCAAUUUUCUGUCAUGAACGAGGAAUACCUUGUAAGCGUGGGUCAUCAUCCCGCGCUGAAUACGUCCCUGCCCUUUGUACACACCGCCCGUCGCUCCUACCGAUUGAGUGGUCCGGUGAGGCUUUGGGAUCUGAGCGGAAAGAGCGUUUCGCUCGUUCUGCCCGGAAAACUCAGUCGAACCUUAUCAUUUAGAGGAAGGAGAAGUCGUAACA
RNAcentral lists this ribosomal RNA (322 nucleotides) under uncultured eukaryote. RNAcentral's name for it is "partial 18S ribosomal RNA". It matches the Rfam family "Eukaryotic small subunit ribosomal RNA", at positions 1470 to 1796 of the family's 1831-position model. The record is from RNAcentral.